RNAcentral lists this ribosomal RNA (465 nucleotides) under uncultured bacterium. Its description in RNAcentral is "partial 16S ribosomal RNA". It matches the Rfam family "Bacterial small subunit ribosomal RNA", at positions 338 to 795 of the family's 1533-position model. The record is from RNAcentral.
CCUACGGGAGGCAGCAGGAGGGAAUGUUAGUCAAUGGGCGCAAGCCUGAACGAGCGAGGCCGCGUGAGUGAAGAAGGCCUUCGGGUCGUAAAGCUCUGUUGCGGGGGAAAAAAGGCAGCAUCAGGAAAUGGGUGCUGACUGAUGGUGCCCCGCCAGAAAGUCACGGCUAACUACGGGCCAGCAGCCGCGGUAAUACGUAGGUGGCGAGCGUUAGCCGGCAUGAUUGGGCGUAAAGGGUGCGCAGGCGGUCCGGCAAGUCUGGAGUGAAACGCAUGAGCUCAACUCAUGCAUGGCUUUGGAAACUGGGGGACUGGAGUGCAGGAGAGGGCGGUGGAACUCCAUGUGUAGCGGUCAACUGCGUAGAUAUAUGGAAGAACCCCAGUGGCGAAGGCGGCCGCCUGGCCUGUUACUGACGCUGAGGCACGAAAGCGUGGGGAGCAAAUAGGAUUAGCUCCCCCUGUAGUC